UGUGGCUCAGUGGUAGAGCACUUGCCUAGAAAGUGUGAGGCCCUGGGUUCAAUCCUCAGCA
RNAcentral lists this transfer RNA (61 nucleotides) under Ictidomys tridecemlineatus (thirteen-lined ground squirrel). RNAcentral's name for it is "Spermophilus tridecemlineatus (thirteen-lined ground squirrel) tRNA". It matches the Rfam family "tRNA", at positions 6 to 65 of the family's 71-position model. Rfam says of the family: Transfer RNA (tRNA) molecules are approximately 80 nucleotides in length. The record is from Rfam by way of RNAcentral. Lineage: Eukaryota; Metazoa; Chordata; Mammalia; Rodentia; Sciuridae.